RNAcentral lists this unclassified non-coding RNA (356 nucleotides) under fungal sp. RNAcentral describes it as "partial internal transcribed spacer region". The stretch from base 1 to 46 matches the Rfam family "Eukaryotic small subunit ribosomal RNA", at positions 1786 to 1831 of the family's 1831-position model. The record is from RNAcentral. Lineage: Eukaryota; Fungi.
AAGUCGUAACAAGGUAACCGUAGGUGAACCUGCGGUUGGAUCAUUAAUAAAAGUUUAUUUUUUUUUAAAAAAAAAAAAACAAACAUUAUGUGAACUGUUUUUGGUAGUACGUAUGUGCGCAUUUGUUAGAUUUGAGUAAGAUUUUCAACUCCUUACCCAUUUCUCUCAUUUGCCAUUUUUUUCCUUGGAAAAACCGCGUACUACCAACGGUCAGGCUGACGCUUUUCACUAAGUGGCAGCCUGCUCGUUAACCCACCAUUUUAUCAUUUGUCUGAAACCUUAAAAAUGCAUUAUAUUGAAAGAUAUGUGCAAAUUUAAUAAAUAAACAACUUUUGACAACGGAUCUCUUGGCUCUC